Melitaea cinxia (Glanville fritillary) is the source of this 379-nucleotide long non-coding RNA. RefSeq lists it as uncharacterized. The transcript is spliced from 2 exons. Lineage: Eukaryota; Metazoa; Arthropoda; Insecta; Lepidoptera; Nymphalidae. The record is from RefSeq and is a predicted model, not a curated record.
ACAAGCUGCUAGCGAGCGAGCGCAUGAACUUGAACAAUCGCCUAGUUAAGCGAGCCGAGAACCGAGAGGAGAGAAUCAAGUGAAAUAGUUGGGCAGCUCUUAAACUACGAUGACGCACGCCGCCGAACAAUGCCGCGGUCAUUAAAAUAGCAUUCCUUCACGAACAUUAUUAUACUCACUGUGCUGCGUACACCACACCACACCGCGCUAAACAGGCUUAGUGGGGCAAAAUAAAAAAUAAAAGAAAAUGUGAAAAGAGAAGAGUAAGAAAGGACGAUAAGAGCCAUAAAAUACAACGAGUCCAUUGUAAAGGAGUCCUGUCCCACACUUCUGUAGGCGCAACAUACUAUCUUCGCUGAACAAAAAGGAUUGAAUACUU